This 73-nucleotide transfer RNA is filed under the name Caudoviricetes sp. Its description in RNAcentral is "tRNA-Lys". It matches the Rfam family "tRNA". From Rfam's summary of the family: Transfer RNA (tRNA) molecules are approximately 80 nucleotides in length. Their secondary structure includes four short double-helical elements and three loops (D, anti-codon, and T loops). The record is from RNAcentral. Lineage: Duplodnaviria; Heunggongvirae; Uroviricota; Caudoviricetes.
GACUCUAUAGCUCAGUUGGUAGAGCAGCGGGCCUUUAACCCGCGGGCCGCAGGUUCGAGUCCUGCUGGAGUCA